UAUACAUCUUCACAGUUUUAUUGUCGGCACGCAGUCAACGCCCCAUUCCAGCACCCCGGCGCAAGUUCAUCUCUGGGUCUUCGUGUCAUGGUCCGAGAUAUAUGAUUCAUUUCAAAAUGAUUUGCUAUGCCACGGCCGGCUUGGAGGCAAGGGAGCUAACCCAGUGCAGGUGCCUGCUGCCUGGUGGCUACAUCGCCCCACUUUGAAGUUCAGGCAGGUUGAAGUCAUGUCCUCCUGCCAUCCCGUCCUCCCAGAUGCACCUUGUGGGCCUGGCCAUUUUAUUGCCCAUCUGUUGGCGUUGGCCGGCUACUUUCUCACAUAACGCGGCCAUGGGAAAUGCGGAAAAGCUGCCAUCGUCGAAUUCAAGAUGCUCUGUGAGUGCUGGGUGUCAAGUUCUGAUAUGAAUUUAUUCAAAUCUAUCACAAAAAUCUUAACUAAGAAUUCAUGCAUCUAAAACAUGAACAAAUGAAGCUCGUAU
This 478-nucleotide long non-coding RNA is filed under the name Drosophila melanogaster (fruit fly). Its description in RNAcentral is "long non-coding RNA:CR44683 (Dmel_CR44683)". Lineage: Eukaryota; Metazoa; Arthropoda; Insecta; Diptera; Drosophilidae. The record is from RNAcentral.